Non-coding RNA from Neonectria punicea, 94 nucleotides. The record is from the annotation of a GenBank genome assembly. NCBI's taxonomy places the organism in Eukaryota, Fungi, Ascomycota, Sordariomycetes, Hypocreales, Nectriaceae.
GCGCGAAUGGUUUAACGGUAAAAUCCGGGCUUCCCAUGACGUCAUUACGUGACCGCGCCUGCCCGGGCUCCGGGUUCGAUUCCCGGUUCGCGCA